Neopsephotus bourkii (Bourke's parrot) is the source of this 708-nucleotide long non-coding RNA. RefSeq lists it as uncharacterized. The transcript is spliced from 2 exons. NCBI's taxonomy places the organism in Eukaryota, Metazoa, Chordata, Aves, Psittaciformes, Psittacidae. The record is from RefSeq and is a predicted model, not a curated record.
AGGAGAAAACAGGGAUAAACUUCUGGGCACGCAGCACAAGCAGUGUCUUCUGGCUCUCUCCUUGUCCUCUCAUGCCCGUGGUAUCCAGAGUGUAUGUCACAGAGGACAGAGAAGUCACCUCCAUGUGCUGCAUUCCUGGCUGUGGCUUGUGCUGCUCAGAAGUGUGAUGGAGGUGGUGCCAGGCAAGGAAUGAGCAUUAUUACCUUGCCAGUCUCCAGCAGCGAGAUUGAACAGGCUGGCUGACCCAUCAUAAAGGCAGUGGCAAGGGCUGCUGCUUGCCUAGGAGGAAAUCACCUACUGAAGUCUCUCCAGAUUUACACCAAAAGGGCCCUAUUUUACUGCAGAGAGAGCAGGACAAAGCGCACCGUAACAACAGGCUGGGCUACUCACUGUGACAUCCCUGAAGUGAGCAUCCCUGCCCGCUCUGGGUGCUGGCAUUUCUCCAUUGGGUUUAUCACUGUAUCAGCUAUGUGAAUACACUUUUUUUUAUGGCAUGAGCCUUUCAGUGGAGUUUCUGAAAGACAACGAUGGGCCUUUGAAGGAUUCCUGCCUUCCUCUCUGCUGCCAGGCAGCCUGAACACAUUUCUGGAGCAGCUAAUGAAAACACUGCCCUUCAUUGCAGGGAAGGAAGGACAAGGCCCUUGAAACCUCAUUUCAGGACAUUUCGUCGUUUGGAUUACAUGUGAAAAUAAACAUCAUUUCAUACAA